AUUGAACGCUGGCGGCAUGCCUUACACAUGCAAGUCGAACGGCAGCACGGGUGCUUGCACCUGGUGGCGAGUGGCGAACGGGUGAGUAAUACAUCGGAACAUGUCCUGUAGUGGGGGAUAGCCCGGCGAAAGCCGGAUUAAUACCGCAUACGAUCUACGGAUGAAAGCGGGGGACCUUCGGGCCUCGCGCUAUAGGGUUGGCCGAUGGCUGAUUAGCUAGUUGGUGGGGUAAAGGCCUACCAAGGCGACGAUCAGUAGCUGGUCUGAGAGGACGACCAGCCACACUGGGACUGAGACACGGCCCAGACUCCUACGGGAGGCAGCAGUGGGGAAUUUUGGACAAUGGGCGAAAGCCUGAUCCAGCAAUGCCGCGUGUGUGAAGAAGGCCUUCGGGUUGUAAAGCGCUUUUGUCCGGAAAGAAAUCCUUGGCCCUAAUACGGUCGGGGGAUGACGGUACCGGAAGAAUAAGCACCGGCUAACUACGU
Molecule: ribosomal RNA, 485 nt
Filed under: uncultured bacterium
Lineage: Bacteria
Description: partial 16S ribosomal RNA
Rfam family: Bacterial small subunit ribosomal RNA
Source: RNAcentral